UUUUAUUCUCUACUAGGGUUUCAAACCCCACCUUGGGCCGUCAUCGGUCCACCACCGUAUACAGUGGCCGACAUUCCUAAAGUCCCCCUUUUCGGCCGAUUUCAGCCCCCUUAAACCCAAUUCGAAGGAAAAAUAUCUGAAUCUCUCCAAAAAAAAAAGAAAAAAAUAGAAGAGAAAAGAACAAAAAGGAAGGCCCUUCGCCUCCCUAUCUACGACGGUGAUAUUUCCAGCGAACCCGAAGGUUUGACUGCCUAAACUCCGACCGCGGACACGAGGUGAGCCCUUUCUUCCUUUUUAUUAUUUUCGUAUAUAAAAAAUAAAGAAAAAUGAAAAAAACUUCGGAGCCAAAAAAUAAAUCAAACGUAAAUCACCUUAAAAUAUUCAAUCUUUUUUCUUUCUAUUCAAAAAUCGAAAGAAAAGAAAAGAGAGGACCCCCUGCUGAUUUUUUUAAGGCUUUUAUAGCCUAAUAUAUUACAAUAUAUCUACUAUUUCUUUGUCCUAUUUCUCUGCUCUGUUGUCUUUGUCGCGUGUUCUUCUUGCUUUGCAGGUGUCAGACGUACGUGGAGGAGGUGACGUGCGGC
RNAcentral lists this long non-coding RNA (581 nucleotides) under Gossypium barbadense (sea-island cotton). RNAcentral describes it as "long non-coding RNA (GBAR_LNC005001)". Lineage: Eukaryota; Viridiplantae; Streptophyta; Magnoliopsida; Malvales; Malvaceae. The record is from RNAcentral.